Non-coding RNA from Odocoileus virginianus texanus, 1180 nucleotides. The record is from RefSeq and is a predicted model, not a curated record. Lineage: Eukaryota; Metazoa; Chordata; Mammalia; Artiodactyla; Cervidae.
UGGGCAAACACCUGUGAAACCAUCAUUGCAAUUGACUAAUAGACAUAUCCAUCACUUUCAAAAGUUUGCUUGUGCUUUUCUGGUUUUGUUUUGCAGUAAAAAGGUUGAACAUGAGUUCCCCUCAUCUGAGAAGUUUUAAGUGUACAACACAAGACUGUCAACUAAAGGCACAGUGUUAAUACAGCAGCACCACGUGUCCAUGGACAGACAAAUGGAUAAAGAAAAUGUGGUUCGUAUAUACAGUGGAGUAUUAUUCAACCUUUACAAAGGAGGAAAUCCUGCCUUUCGUGAAAGAUGAUGGUAUUCUUGCCACCAUUUCCAAAGAUUAUGAUUCAGCUCUGCUGUGAGAGGAGGAAGGUAAACCCAGAAAAGGAGCGGACAGAACGAGAAAGGGAGAAGAAGGGAAAGAACAGGACCCAUAAGCAACUUCCCGGCGCAGUCUCCUCAGACCUUUAAACAAGCACAAGACACAGAGGGAAACUGCUAUUUGGCAUGUGGUUGAACCUCCGUCAUCCUAGAAUGGAAUCAAUUUUUCAAUACUGGAAUGGAUGAAAGGCUGACAUAUAUACACUGCUGGGAGAUCAGCAUGAAAACUAUGCAACCCUCAUUUUUGCUCCCCCAGAUUCAGUCUGCCUCAUCUGGACUAGCAUCCAAGGGUUUCAACCUUUUGUUUGCUUUCUUUAUCUUCUUGAGCUUCUCUCCAUGUUCACCAUCAGCAUGACACUCAGGGCCACAUCCUCCCUGGACUAAACAAGUGGAGAGUGCUAAGUUCUUGGACCAAUCCUCUGGCUCUGGGACACCUGCAGUGCAGUUGAUGAGUCAAACUAAUUACUGAAGACAACAAGGAAGAUUUCAACAAGAAAUUUCAGAGAACAAAGAGCACCAAACAUUUUCCUACAUCUUCUAGCUAGAAAACCAUAGGGCUGCUUAUAAAAUACCCUAGUCUCACAAAAACCACGUUACCUUUCUUUUCAUCUACAAAUUUACAAAAUGUUUUAGGCCAAAAGUUUGUUUUCUGAUCAUAAAUGGCACUUUCGAACACACCAUUAAUUGGGAUAUCUUGAAUUCCCAGUGAGCUAUAAAUGGCAAUUCUAGGCUAGUAUUGGGGAUUAUCUCCUAAGGAUAAUGAAAAUAAAUUUUCCUUUGAUAUUUUGUAUCAGGCUUUAGGAUACUAACUGGG